This 261-nucleotide small nuclear RNA is filed under the name Jaculus jaculus (lesser Egyptian jerboa). Its description in RNAcentral is "7SK RNA (ENSJJAG00000003319.1)". It matches the Rfam family "7SK RNA". From Rfam's summary of the family: 7SK was discovered as an abundant small nuclear RNA in the mid-70s but a possible function has only recently been suggested. Lineage: Eukaryota; Metazoa; Chordata; Mammalia; Rodentia; Dipodidae. The record is from Rfam by way of RNAcentral.
GGAUAUGAGGGUGAUCUGGCUGUCUAGGUGGGUGUCCUCUUCCUCCCUCACUAUUCCAUGUGCAUCCUAGCCAAAGCUGUGCUGUGCACUCUGCUGAAGAGGACAACCUUCCCCAAAUAGAGGACGACCAGUCUUUGAUCAAGGGUACAUGAGUAGCUGCACUUCCCUGCGACAACCUCCAAACAAGCUUGUAAAACAUAAAAUAGAAAGUAUGAUGUAAGUCAGAAAUUUAUUAUUGACUUUCUCAAUUUAGAAAUAUUA